This is a non-coding RNA of Salvelinus sp. IW2-2015, 1744 nucleotides long. Lineage: Eukaryota; Metazoa; Chordata; Actinopteri; Salmoniformes; Salmonidae. The record is from RefSeq and is a predicted model, not a curated record.
UGUAGGAUAAAGCGAGUGACAGCAAUGUCAUUCAUAUUUUCACCACAAGAUGACACAAUGUAAUGUUAUCUGAUACUACCAGUUCAACUUUUAAAAUAAAGAGUGAACUGCAAUGGUAAGAGGGAUCUCUAAGAAUGUUCAGGUGUUCCAAAAAAACAAUCCGUGAUUGUGAGAGCACUAUUUGUCCUCUUGCUCUGUCUGUGGCAGGUGCUCUGCAGGUCAUCUCCAUUGGAUGGAAAGGGUAGGGCAGUAGAGUGACUCAGUCUUGAGGAUGAUGAGUGUUAAAUGGCUCCACAAGAUCACAAAGUGGUGCGCAUAAGCCUCGUGACUCGCUGGUACAGCUGCUGGACAACUGUCAUGAGAUUCCUAAAAUGGUUUGUCAAAAGAGCACAAAAGACAUGAUCAGUGAGUGGUGCCAAACACAGAAAACUGUUCAAGACUCACCGGGUGCUGAUGGAGACACAGUUGUUGGGGUUCAAGCAGAAGAGCGAAGCCACGCAGUAGACACAGCCCAACAACAUGGACAGCAGCCGUCUCUUUAAAGACAUCUUUAAUUCACAGUCCAAACGAUUCUCAACUUCAGUGUUCAACUUCAGAGUUCAAGCCCAAGAGGAGAUUCGGUGGUGGUGAACCCUUGUGUAAAAUGUCACCAACAUCCCGGAUGUCUGCACCAGGGACUCUUCGAGGGGACUGGGAUGACAGCCAGAUAGCAGGCUGGACAAGAGUCAGAUGCAGAGGAACCACAGCUGCAGACGAGAGAGCUACAGCAGAGAAACUUYGACAGCAGCAGUCUUUGCACCUUCUCUGUCAUCCGUCCUAGGGGCUUCAUUGUGGUGUUCUGUGCUGGCUUCUUCACCAUCCUCUCUGUCUUCACCUACUUCUACCUGGAGAUCCUGAAGAUUGCCUGCGGCCACCAGAUGCAGAUCCGUCAGGCCAGCUAAAGGCUUCCACAGCGCAGCCACUACUGGGGCCACGUCAAGGCCCUGAGGACUGUGGCUCUGCUGGUGGGCUGUUUCACCAUCUGCUGGUGCCCUUUGUAGUGUGUGUGUGGUGCAGGUGCUGUGUGAGGGCUGUGAAUUGUACAAGGUGCUGGAGAACGACCUGUAGCUGGUUGGGACUGUCCAACUCCCUCAUCAACCCUCUGGUGUACACCUGCUGGCAGAGGGAGGUGUGGCUGAAGAUCGGGGCACUCAUCUUCGUUAAGGACAGGUUCAGGAACACAGCUGUGUUAGAGGCUAGUGAGAGAUGUCAGACAGAGCUGCGUAUACUGCGUACACUUAUACUGUUAUAUCUGUGGACGAUGCCAUGAGCCUGGACCGCACCUUCCCCCGGUCACCACUGAACAGGGCCACACUGUAUCGCUUUCGGCCUCAACCACCUUGUAAAUGACUUAAACAUUUUGAGAACAACUCAUUGAGGUUUAAUAAACCAAUUUGAACACUUACUGUGGCAGCUUAGCGCUUUCUCCAUUUCUGGUAGAAACGGUUCACGUCACACAUCUGGCGACAGCAACCAACUGACAAAAACAACGAAAAGUGGAAAAAUAACAGUGAGAUAAUGGAUGUGGAGACAUCAUGAAACCUAUUUGCUGUUUUUCCGCUCUGUUUCCUCUACUAACCUAAUUGAUAUUAUCUCUGCAAAGUAUGCACUUUGUCCCUCUGCAUUCCCACCCAGCUAGCACAUAAUGCUCUGAGCGCUAUAUGUUUCUUAGAGCGUAAUUGUUCUGGGAAUGGUGCAGGAUAGU